CAAAGCACUUUGAAGAGAGAGUUAAAGAGGACGUGAAACCGAUGAGGUGGAAACGGACAGAGCUGGCGUAUCUGGUCUGCAUUCAUCCGUGUGUUCUUGGGCGUUUGGGUGCCACUCUCCAGACUGGGAUGGUGUUCAUUCUGUUCAGGGGCGCAUGGGGCAUUUGCAGGCGGAGUGCGCUGAGACGCUCGGGGCAGCUGUAUGAGCUUGGCUUUGAGGCCAGCCCUUCGGGGUCUGGUACCCGGGCCGGGGGAGUGCUGUUUGCUCUGGGUGGUGUGCUGGUGCAAUGGUUACGGGCCCGUGUUGGUUUGAGCUGGCGGUCGGUGGCGGUCGCGUGCGACACGUACCAGCAGUCAGUUCGGUCCUGCUCGGGCUCUCAUUGCAUGUUCUCGGUGUAAAAGCCGGUCAUCUGUCCGACCCGUCUUGAAACACGGACCAAGGAGUUUAGCGUGUGCGCGAGUCAUUGGGUGUUGAAAACCCAAAGGCGUAAUGAAAGUGAAGUCUCCUUGCGGAGCUGAUGUGUGAUCCUGUGCACCUCGGUGUGCGGGCGCAACAUAGUCCCGUCCCGAUCGCAUGCGAUGGGGCGGAGACAGAGCGUACGCGCUGAGACCCGAAAGAUGGUGAACUAUUCCUGAGCAGGACGAAGCCAGAGGAAACUCUGGUGGAAGUCCGAAGCGAUUCUGACGUGCAAAUCGAUCGUCUGACUUGGGUAUAGGGGCGAAAGACUAAUCGAACCAUC
This 739-nucleotide ribosomal RNA is filed under the name Cactodera milleri. RNAcentral's name for it is "partial large subunit ribosomal RNA". It matches the Rfam family "Eukaryotic large subunit ribosomal RNA", at positions 367 to 944 of the family's 3401-position model. Lineage: Eukaryota; Metazoa; Nematoda; Chromadorea; Rhabditida; Heteroderidae. RNAcentral also lists the same sequence under 1 other name. The record is from RNAcentral.